RNAcentral lists this ribosomal RNA (254 nucleotides) under uncultured bacterium. RNAcentral's name for it is "partial 16S ribosomal RNA". It matches the Rfam family "Bacterial small subunit ribosomal RNA", at positions 524 to 776 of the family's 1533-position model. The record is from RNAcentral.
UACGUAGGGGGCAAGCGUUAUCCGGAAUCACUGGGCGUAAAGCGUGCGUAGGCGGGAGUUUAAGUGCAAUGCGAAAUCUUGUGGCUCAACCAUAUAGACUGUAUUGCAUACUGGACACCUAGAGGACGGCAGAGGCAAGUGGAAUUACUGGUGUAGCAGUGAAAUGCGUAGAUAUCAGUAGGAACACCAAUGGCGAAGGCAGCUUGCUGGGCCGACCCUGACGCUAAGGCACGAAAGCGUGGGGAGCGAACAGG